This 344-nucleotide unclassified non-coding RNA is filed under the name soil metagenome. RNAcentral describes it as "partial contains 5.8S ribosomal RNA, internal transcribed spacer 2, and large subunit ribosomal RNA". The stretch from base 1 to 120 matches the Rfam family "5.8S ribosomal RNA", at positions 35 to 154 of the family's 154-position model. The record is from RNAcentral.
GAUGAAGAACGCAGUGAAAUGCGAUAAGUAAUGUGAAUUGCAGAAUUCAGUGAAUCAUCGAAUCUUUGAACGCACAUUGCGCCCGCCAGUAUUCUGGCGGGCAUGCCUGUUCGAGCGUCAUUUCCACCAUCAGGCCCCCGGGCCUGUGUUGGGGACCUGCGGCUGCCCGCAGGCCCCGAAAUUCAGUGGCGGUCGCGCCGUAGCAACCGAGCGUAGUAACUAAAACGUCUCGCUCUGGCUCGCUGGGCGCGCUCCGGCCGUAAAACACCCCCCCUUUUCGCAAAGGUUGACCUCGGAUCAGGUAGGAAUACCCGCUGAACUUAAGCAUAUCAAUAAGCGGAGGA